This 2481-nucleotide long non-coding RNA is filed under the name Heterocephalus glaber (naked mole-rat). Its description in RNAcentral is "lncRNA (ENSHGLG00100035890.1)". The record is from RNAcentral. Lineage: Eukaryota; Metazoa; Chordata; Mammalia; Rodentia; Bathyergidae.
CACAAGUUGAAGUACGUGUGGACGUGUGGCCCACAGAAUUGUGUUGAUGCUUUUAAUUUAUUGUGUCUACUAUGAAAAACAAAGCCCAACUCAAUAGCAAAGAAGGCCGAGUCAGGGAGGGUAGAGCAGAGGCUUCCAGGCUGACCUGGCCCAUGGUCACUGAGGCCCUGCCCAGAAGCAGGGCCCUGUGCGCACUGAGCCUGUGAGGACCUGGCCGGCUGAACGCGCUGUGGGAGCCCUGGAGGGACGGGGUUCAGGCGGCAUGGGCUGCAUCCUGGGGCAGCGUGAAGUCGCCCCGUUUGCCCACUGUUUGGGAAGCCUUUAUGGGAAAAUGACAGAAUAAUGCGCACGUGGCCUUCAGGAGCCCGAGCUCAGCAAGCUCAGCAGACCCUCCGCAGGUGCUGCUGGGGACAGGAAACGGUGGAGACACCAUGGCCCGCGUGCCUCAUCUGUCAGGCGCUCUUGGCUUCACAGCAGACAGGAGACCCUCUAAGCAGACAGAAGACGACGAGGCCCCCGUGGAGGGCGCUCUUGAGCAGCAGCAGGAGGCCAGUAUGAAGGCAAUGCCCAGAACUCCUACCUGUAAGGAUGGCAGUGCCGAAGCUAGAAGAGAUAAAGACUCCAUGAGGGCUUGGAUCAAUGCCUGGGCCCUGUGAUUUGAAAUGGAAUAGCAUCCUCAUUCCAGAAAGAGAAGGCUGCCUUCAAGGUGAGACAAACCUCCAAGUCCAGCACACAGCACUCAACAUGCCACAUGGUAGAUGGCAUCCAAGGGACAGAGAUUUUUCCCUGAAGAAGGAGAAUAUGGGAUUUCCCACGGACCCCUGAAAAAAAAAAGAACCAGUUCCUUUCGGAUUACCCAGAUCUUAAUUUACUACUUGAAAUCACUCUCUGUGAUUUGUUGGUUAUAGAUUGUCUAAAAUUAGGUCUCAAAGUUAAAUAUGAGGGUUGUCUUCAAGAUAUUUUAUGGGUUAUCCUGAAACCAGUGCCUGAUUUCUUUUUGGGUUUUGCUUGGGGUUUUACAAAAUUUCUUUUUCUUUAUUUAAUUGGUGUAUGUUUGUUUGCUUGUUUUUUUAACCUUAGUUUUCCCAUUUUUCUGGCAUAUUUUUUAAGUGCACUGCAUACUAUUAUCACUUGCCAGGCAUGGUGUAUAGUUUUACAUAGUUAUUGUUUUGCAUAUGUAUUGCUUCUUUAUUCCCUUCCCUCCUGGGUGCCCACUGUACUGUCUUUGACACAUGUCCUUAGAGCCUCUGCCUCUGCGAAUGAACUCAGUGUGAUGGGUGAAUAAUACAUUUGUAAUCCCUGUCUACAGCGUACAUUUCUGCCUGUUCAUGUCUGGAUUCCUGUCAGCGCUUUGCUCCACAGCUGGCAGUCACUACAUCCUCUUCUUCCAAAGCCUGGUGUGCUCAUAGGUGUUUUUUUUUUUUUGUACCAGGGAUUGAACUCGGGUUCUUGCAGUUGUGGAUCAGGCAGCAGAACCACUGAGCUAAAUCCCCGGCCCUAGGUGGGGUUUUUGAAAGGUGAUUGGACCAUGGCACACUGUUACUAACCGUGCCGCGAGGGAAUGAGGGCCUGGAUGGAAGAGGUGGUCAUAGAGCUGUGACCUUGGAGAAUGUGUCUCCCUCCCUGAGCCUCCCCUUCUUCCUUUGCUUCCUGGGCACCAUGAGGUGAGCAGCUUUCCUCCACAGCAGACCCUUCCACUAGGCCCUUCUCCAUUACAGCCAGAUGUCUGUGAACUGAGAACUCUAAAGUCAGUGAGCCCAAAACAUCCUCUCCUCUUAAGGUUGUAGGUGUUGGGUACUUUGUCCCAGCAACAAGAAAAGUGACUAAGAAUGAGUACUUUGCUGUCACCAGCAGAGCUGUGACAGACACCUCACGAGGUUCCUUACAACCAGUGUAAGCCUUUCCCUGGGAAUGUAAGGCUAGGAUUGAUGGUUGGGGGACACACACACACACACACACACACACACAUACACACACUCCUUUUCACUAUGUGCUGCCAGUGCUAUGAUAUUAUCUGGAAUUUUAACUUUUGCCAACUAGAUGGCUGUCAAGCAAGAUCUCACUGUUUUAAUAGGCAGUGAUAUGAUUAUGAGGAAGCUGAGGGUCAUUUUUAAUGGCUAGUCUGUUUUGCAGCAUUUCCUUCAGCUUCCUGCCUAUUUGAGUUCUUUAUAUACAGCUCUGGGUAGCAGAGCUGGAGUUCCAGCCAGUUGGCCUGGGAUAUACAUAGCCUGGCACUGCCAUUCAUGCAACCCAAGCAAGUUGCUUUCCAUCGUGGUCCCCUAGCUUCCUCAACUGUAAUAAGUAAAAACAGUUAAGUUCCUUAUAUGUUUGUGAAGAUUAAGUGAAUUAAAACCUAUAGAAUACUUAAAGGGCCAGACAAGUUAUAAAUAUGCAACAAAUAUUAUUAAAUUCACCAUUCCUAUUGGUUUAUUAAUAUUAUAUAUAAAUUAAUGUUAAUAUAUACUAUAAAUGUAAUUGUGG